AAAAUCAUACUUUCAGGGAUCAUUUCAAGUCUUUUUGAGAAAAUCUGGAAUGUUGAAGACUCUAACCACGAUGAAGAGAACUGAUGUUCCCUUCUGAAGCUUGAGCAGGCAGUGAGUGAUGAUGCAUUUCAUCCGCUCCUUGCCAUUGAUGACCGUUCCAUGCUCUCUAGUGGAGCCUGGAGGUAGGGAUCAUGAUCAAAGUGGU
The sequence is a small nucleolar RNA, 205 nucleotides long. Its record names the gene U3. It matches the Rfam family "Small nucleolar RNA U3". Rfam says of the family: Small nucleolar RNAs (snoRNAs) are involved in the processing and modification of rRNA in the nucleolus. There are two main classes of snoRNAs: the box C/D class, and the box H/ACA class. U3 snoRNA is a member of the box C/D class. The record is from Ensembl.